UGGAGAUUCAGAGACGUCCUUCCUCAAGAAGGAACCUCUGCCUGGCCUUCAGCAGGGCCACUGUCAUGUGCGAUAUUCACUUAGAGCCUUAUCACAUUUGUGGCUGUAGAGGUGUUUGCGUGCCUUGUUUAAUUUAUCCCACUAGACUGCCUUUCGAACGGAGCCCGGGGAGGACAGGCUGGCAGAGGAGGGAGGAGGGUUUCUAGCUGAGAGAGACUGCGGCUGUGGGCCUGCAGCCUACCCCUCUUCAAGCUCUCCGGAGCCGUUCCUGCGAAACCAGCCCCCACAAGUGGCUGAUGCUCCUGUCCCUCUUCUGGCCUGAUUGCUCCCUCUCCUGACCCCUAAGCGUAGUUACCUACUCAGGACUAAAACAAAACAAUCCAGAAAGAAUGCUUUCUAAGAAUAAAGAAAAACAAAACAAACGCCUGAUGAAGAUCAAAGUCUCUACAUGGCAUGGAAGGACCCUAACCACCUUGCAUGAACCUGCAAAGGAUUUGAUGCUAGUGACAUCUGAUGAGCUCUAGGGCCAUGGGUAAAUCCCUGAAUCACAGGGAGCACCAUCUGUAAAGCAGUGAUAAUGAUACAUUUUUUCAUUUGUAAAGUGAUGAUUUAAAAAAAUAUCCUACCUCAUGGUAUCUUCAUGAAAAUGAAACAAGAUAAUGAAUGAAAAA
Molecule: long non-coding RNA, 671 nt
Filed under: Homo sapiens (human)
Lineage: Eukaryota; Metazoa; Chordata; Mammalia; Primates; Hominidae
Description: PU.1 (SPI1) induced regulator of S100A8 and S100A9 alarmin transcription 1
Source: RNAcentral